This 135-nucleotide small RNA is filed under the name Brenneria goodwinii. Its description in RNAcentral is "Salmonella enterica Typhi npcRNA 44". It matches the Rfam family "Salmonella enterica Typhi npcRNA 44". Lineage: Bacteria; Pseudomonadati; Pseudomonadota; Gammaproteobacteria; Enterobacterales; Pectobacteriaceae. The record is from Rfam by way of RNAcentral.
CUUUAACAAUCUGGAACAAGCUGAAAUUUGAAACGAUGCGGCGACGAUUAUCUUUGGUGAUAACGUGGCUGUAUCAGAGUCUCUCAAAUAAUCGCAGCGCGAAUGUGACUUGAUGUAUCAAAAAGACACCUUCGG